GAUGAACGCUAGCUACAGGCUUAACACAUGCAAGUCGAGGGGAAACGGCAUUGAGUGCUUGCACUCUUUGGACGUCGACCGGCGCACGGGUGAGUAACGCGUAUCCUACCUUCCCAUUACUGUGGGUUAACCUGCCGAAAGGCAGACUAAUAUCGCAUAGUCUUCGAUGACGGCAUCAGAUUUGAAGUAAAGAUUUAUCGGUAUUGGAUGGGGGUGCGUCUGAUUAGCUUGUUGGCGGUGUAACGGCCAACCAAGGCUACGUUCAGUAGGGGUUCUGACAGGAAUCUCCCCCACAUUGGAACUGAGACACGGUCCAAACACCUACGGGAGGCAGCAGUGAGGAAUAUUGGUCAAUGGACGGAAGUCUGAACCAGCCAAGUAGCGUGCAGGAUGACGGCCCUAUGGGUUGUAAACUGCUUUUGUAGGGAGAUAGAUUUAGGUACGUGUCCCUAUUUGCAGGUACCAUACGAAUAAGGACCGGCUAAUUCCGUG
This 492-nucleotide ribosomal RNA is filed under the name uncultured bacterium. Its description in RNAcentral is "partial 16S ribosomal RNA". It matches the Rfam family "Bacterial small subunit ribosomal RNA", at positions 28 to 507 of the family's 1533-position model. The record is from RNAcentral.